Molecule: RNase P RNA, 414 nt
Filed under: Salmonella enterica
Lineage: Bacteria; Pseudomonadati; Pseudomonadota; Gammaproteobacteria; Enterobacterales; Enterobacteriaceae
Description: partial RNase P RNA component class A
Rfam family: Bacterial RNase P class A
About the family: Ribonuclease P (RNase P) is a ubiquitous endoribonuclease, found in archaea, bacteria and eukarya as well as chloroplasts and mitochondria. Its best characterised activity is the generation of mature 5'-ends of tRNAs by cleaving the 5'-leader elements of precursor-tRNAs.
Source: RNAcentral
UUGCGCUAGAUGUGUUCGUUGAUUGGCAUCUAGUGCGUGGUGUUGUUGCUACUGGAUUGAUCUAGUAUCUGCUCUUUUUUUUUUUUUUUUAAAUGACGCCCCCCCCCCAGAGACCAACACGAAGGGGGCCGCCGGCGGCGACAGAUGUGUAAAAGAGACGGGUGCAACAGAGAGAAAACCGCCGAUGGCCCACGCAAGUGGGAUCAGGUAAGGGUGAAAGGGUGCGGUAAGAGCGCACCGCGCGGCUGGUAACAGUCCGUGGCACGGUAAACUCCACCCGGAGCAAGGCCAAAUAGGGGUUCAUAAGGUACGGCCCGUACUGAACCCGGGUAGGCUGCUUGAGCCAGUGAGCGAUUGCUGGCCUAGAUGAAUGACUGUCCACGACAGAACCCGGCUUAUCGGUCAGUUUCACUU